GAGCCAUUAGCUCAGUUGGUAGAGCACCUGACUUUUAAUCAGGGUGUCGCUGGUUCGAAUCCAGCAUGGCUCA
RNAcentral lists this transfer RNA (73 nucleotides) under Alicyclobacillus dauci. Its description in RNAcentral is "tRNA-Lys". It matches the Rfam family "tRNA". Rfam says of the family: Transfer RNA (tRNA) molecules are approximately 80 nucleotides in length. Their secondary structure includes four short double-helical elements and three loops (D, anti-codon, and T loops). The record is from RNAcentral. Lineage: Bacteria; Bacillati; Bacillota; Bacilli; Caryophanales; Alicyclobacillaceae.